This is a long non-coding RNA of Chenopodium quinoa (quinoa), 1766 nucleotides long. RefSeq lists it as uncharacterized. The record is from RefSeq and is a predicted model, not a curated record. The transcript has 4 exons. Lineage: Eukaryota; Viridiplantae; Streptophyta; Magnoliopsida; Caryophyllales; Amaranthaceae.
AUGGGGAAAUGGUAAAGAAGAAACAGAGAAGAAGGGGAAACAGGGAAACAACGAAGACAAGAAGGCAAAAUUGAUCGCUACUCCACCUGUUCUUCACAUCGAUGAGCAUUGUUCGACCGGCGACGCUACACUCGGACUACCAUCGCCAGCUUCCCCUCCUCCCACUCCCUCCUUGUUUUCCGAUGCCGGUACUCAGGGCUACCGUCGUCGCCUCGCCGGGCUCCUCUUCUCUCCGUCCCUCCUCCGAUUUUCGUCGAGUUAAGUCAGGCCUACUGUAGCCGGAAUCCUCUUAUAUCCGUCCCUCCUCCGUUUUUCGUCGAGUAAACCUAGGUAAUUUAGUUAUUUUUUUUUUAUUUCUUUAUUUUGUCUAAAAUAGCUAAUUGAGGGUCGCAAAUUAACCCCCUUUGCAGCUCCACCAUCGCCAGAUUCCUGUUGUGCCCUUGCCACCUCCUUUUUCAUCUUUUUCCGUUGCCGCCAUUAGGUAAGUUGUGUAUAGUUAUUUAUUUUUUUAAUUUUAAAGUUUUUUUCUAUAUACCCUACCUAAAAUUGUAACACCAUCGUAUACCAGGACCACCUUCGUCGCCGCCUCUGCUUUUUCGGUAAACUCCUCCACUAUCUGUUUUCUUCCCUUCUUAUUUAACUACUUCUUUUACUUUUGUAAUAUGAUUCAUAUUUAGUUUAGUUGUUUAUUGAGUUGUGAUCUAUAUAUUUUUUAAAAAGCAUCCUUAUUAGUUGCGUUUUUAUUUCAGUUUACUAUCAUUGCUUUACUUUGUGAAUGUGCUACUUGUUUAAGCGGGUUUUCCUAAUGAUUCUUAAAUGGUCACUUUAGUAAUAUCAAGAGGUUUGCUAAUAAUAGCUUGGUUCAUUGUUGGAUUUUUUACGCUUUAUUAUGCAUAGGCUUGAACUUGGAUGUGUUUUGAUUGGAAUAGAAAUUUAUUUUGCUUUAUGUCCAAUGUAGGACUAUUGGUUGGUAUGAACUCAUGUGUUGAAUAAUUUUCGUUUUUGUUUAAAAAAAAUGAUUCCUAUAGAAUUGUUUUAGCUUUAUUAGAAAUAUGUAUGUUUAUAUGAGAAGUUGUGUUAAUCUUUUGAACAUUGACUGGUGUGUACCCCGGGCAAUGUCCUGGGUUGCUAGUUUGUGUACUUCUUGCUUUAAUUUAGCAAUUAUGUUCGACUAUUUGUAUAGUAAGUGUGUGAGUUCGGGCAGUGCCUUGUAUGUCACUUCUUUUUUUUACAUCAUAUGUGUUUAUAUUCUAAUCUUAUGAAAAAUAAAUAAAUCAUAUAACCUUUAUUUUACUUAAUAAAUGAAAGGAAUAUAUAAUAUUAUGUGCAGCUUGAAACAUUAAUAAUAGUUGGUUGAGAUGGUGAAUGUAUUACUUAUAUGUAUUGGAGGUUAUGGGUUUGAAUAUUGUUCAAAGCAUAUUUUAUUUUGUUAAAUGAAGUGGCUAACUUACGAUGAUGACGUGGCUUUGUGACGUAGGACACAUACUUUGAAGAGUGCCACGUGGCACCGUUCCUUUAGAAGGAAUGUCUAUUAAUAUAUAGUAUAGAUUUGUAUUAUGGUUCUAUAAUAUAUUUUGUUAAUUAUUUUGUUUUUUCAUUUAAUUUUUUUCAUGAAUGGUUACAUGUGGUUUUUUUUUUAAUAUUUUUAUAUUUUGAUUUUUGUUAUCAAACUCCCAUCAUUGUAUUGUAAAUUAUAUAUAAUAAGUAUUUUAGAAAAUAUUAAAAAUAAUUUAAAUAUUUCUCAAGUAAUUUGGUAAAAAGUUAAC